UACAGAGGGUGCGAGCGUUGUCCGGAAUCACUGGGCGUAAAGGGCGCGUAGGCGGCUUGAUAAGCGUGCGGUGAAAGCCCGGGGCUCAACCCCGGGUCGGCCGUGCGAACUGUCGAGCUGGAGCACUGUAGAGGCAGGUGGAAUUCCGGGUGUAGCGGUGGAAUGCGUAGAGAUCCGGAAGAACACCGGUGGCGAAGGCGGCCUGCUGGGCAGUGGCUGACGCUGAGGCGCGACAGCGUGGGGGAGCAAACAGG
This 254-nucleotide ribosomal RNA is filed under the name uncultured bacterium. Its description in RNAcentral is "partial 16S ribosomal RNA". It matches the Rfam family "Bacterial small subunit ribosomal RNA", at positions 524 to 776 of the family's 1533-position model. The record is from RNAcentral.